AUCCCUAUACUGGAAAAGGGACAUCCCCCACCCCUUACUUUGUGGUUUGACAAAAUGGAAGACUUACAACAUCUAGAUGAAUUGACAUUCUUGGCCCAGGGCCCCAUACAGGAUACACAGGAGACAUGACAUGAACUCAUUGGUUGACUGUAGUUUUUGAAGCUGACUUUUGGAGGUUACUGACGUAUGAUUGCCCGACAGGAGACGC
Non-coding RNA from Pelobates cultripes (western spadefoot toad), 208 nucleotides. The record is from the annotation of a GenBank genome assembly. NCBI's taxonomy places the organism in Eukaryota, Metazoa, Chordata, Amphibia, Anura, Pelobatidae.